RNAcentral lists this ribosomal RNA (497 nucleotides) under uncultured bacterium. RNAcentral describes it as "partial 16S ribosomal RNA". It matches the Rfam family "Bacterial small subunit ribosomal RNA", at positions 28 to 507 of the family's 1533-position model. The record is from RNAcentral.
GAUGAACGCUGGCGGCGUGCCUAAUACAUGCAAGUCGAGCGAACAGACGAGGAGCUUGCUCCUCUGACGUUAGCGGCGGACGGGUGAGUAACACGUGGAUAACCUACCUAUAAGACUGGGAUAACUUCGGGAAACCGGAGCUAAUACCGGAUAAUAUAUUGAACCGCAUGAUUCAAUAGUGAAAGACGGUUUUGCUGUCACUUAUGGAUGGAUCCGCGCCGCAUUAGCUAGUUGGUAAGGUAACGGCUUACCAAGGCAACGAUGCGUAGCCGACCUGAGAGGGUGAUCGGCCACACUGGAACUGAGACACGGUCCAGACUCCUACGGGAGGCAGCAGUAGGGAAUCUUCCGCAAUGGGCGAAAGCCUGACGGAGCAACGCCGCGUGAGUGAUGAAGGUCUUCGGAUCGUAAAACUCUGUUAUUAGGGAAGAACAAAUGUGUAAGUAACUAUGCACGUCUUGACGGUACCUAAUCAGAAAGCCACGGCUAACUACGUG